CAAUGCAACACAACACAACACAGCACAGAGGGUGAGUCUUGUACAUGAGUCUUGUACAUGAGUCUUUUGCUAUGGUAAGCCUCCUCAUUCUGUGCCCUGCUUUUUGCCAAUUGCCGAUGGAGUGUUGGCUAUGGUGGUGAUGGUUGUGGUGGAGUGCUACACCCUCAGUUGCCACUCACUCACUUGCUACUUGUUUGUUUGUUUGUUUGUUUGUUUCUUCAUUUGAAUUCAUUCUUCUCCUUCUUCUGCUUCUGGUAUCAAUCUCUUGUUGCGGAGUGCAUUUCAUUCAGAGUGUGGGGGAGAGUGAUGGAGGAAUGGCUUUGUGCUUUUGGGUGUUGUUUCUAUUGUUGUCUAUAUUGUUGGCUAUAUUGUUGGCUACAUUGGUGGCACAGCAUUGAAGGGGGAAGGGAAUAGAGGAGAUGCUAUGGGACCUCUCUCUAUCUCUCUCUCUCUCUCUCUCUCUCUCUCUCUCUCCCUCCACAAAUAUCCUGCUCUUCCCGCUCCUCCUGCUUCUUUCUGCGGUUGCUAUUGCUGCUUCGCUGUCCCGCAACAUUCUUUGCAGAAGGGAAUAUUUUUUUGUAAAGACUCGCGUUUUUGUUAUGGGCAUCGUAGUUACUCUAUUCUUUGAAUUGAUGGUUGGUUGGGUGAUUUGGGUGUGGUUGAAGAAAGAUUGUGAAACCUGGGAAUGCCCAAAAUCAAGCACUCGCAUGCUAUGCAUGUGGGGAUUUAUACAAUGUGGUCAACAUAUUCAACGACAGUCGCUCCAUUCAUUGAAAAGAAUGGUGUAGCGGAUUCGUUCGGGGAUCACGUGAACCUUCCAACCCUUUGUACGUUCAUGAUGACUACAAGGAAAAAAACACAGGCUCUAACGUUCGAGCUCCCCUUCAGUUCCAUGUUGACAGUCAACCAGGGCAUUCUUCUCUCGUUGCCUGUGCAGCUCCGAUGGUACCCGAAGCAGAACGGCACACUAGUGCAAGAGGGGUUUCAUGAUUCUGACAGCAACAGAAGAAAAAAAGAAAAAAAGAAAUAAUACAGACCCAACUAAUCCUAAUCGUAGCUUGCAUCCAUGUCAUCAUAAUUUGUCUACAGUACCUGAAGAUUGCAAUGCCAACCUUCAGAAUUGAUCCACAGACUACUGUACCCACCAACUUUAUCAACAACUGGAUGCUGACACUUUAACAAAGCCUUGAGGCAGGAAUUUACACGAUUCUAAUGCAAGGUUACCUGCAUGAGAAGCUUGAAAUUGGGGGAUUACCAAAGCAGGAAGUGACAAGAAGCAGAUUGGAGGAGGCCAUCCGGG
Molecule: long non-coding RNA, 1300 nt
Organism: Physcomitrium patens
Lineage: Eukaryota; Viridiplantae; Streptophyta; Bryopsida; Funariales; Funariaceae
Source: RefSeq, a predicted model, not a curated record